GAUGAAGAACGUAGCGAAAUGCGAUAAGUAAUGUGAAUUGCAGAGUUUUGUGAAUCAUCGAAUCUUUGAACGCACAUUGCGCCCCUCGGUAUUCCGACGGGCAUGCCUGUCCGAGCGUCGUUUGCAACCCAUCGAGUAACACUUCUCGGUCUUGGGCGCCGUCCGCCCCCUCGGGGGAUCGGACGGGCCCCAAAGCCCUCGGCGGCCCCGCGUGCCCCGCCGGAGCGUCUUCGAAAGCAAUCGCUCCGGCGCGUCGCGCCCCGGGACCAAGCCGGCACCGCGGCCCCCCCAAAGGGGUCGCACCCCCAACGCCAAACGUCUGACCUCGGAUCAGGUAGGGCUACCCGCUGAACUUAAGCAUAUCAAUAAGCGGAGGA
This 377-nucleotide unclassified non-coding RNA is filed under the name soil metagenome. Its description in RNAcentral is "partial contains 5.8S ribosomal RNA, internal transcribed spacer 2, and large subunit ribosomal RNA". The stretch from base 1 to 120 matches the Rfam family "5.8S ribosomal RNA", at positions 35 to 154 of the family's 154-position model. The record is from RNAcentral.